AUUGCUGUGGGCUGCUGUGUAUUGCCGUGUGUCCUGUCAGAUAAACCCCCGCCUUCACGCACUUCGUCGCGGGAGGACAAGGAGACUGCUGGUCCUAGCCUAGUUCAGUACAGUAUAUGUUGUGCGCGUGCUUCAGAUCUCCGGAGAUAGCACAGUACGCUGUGUCCAGCCCAGAGGUGAAAGCCAUCCAAAGCAGAGUAACUGUGCUUUGCGUCCAAGUUGAUACCUGUGGAGAGGAAAGGAAAGAGAGAUUGAUGCCUGUGGAGAGAAAAGGAGAGAGAGUGAAUAACACGAGAAGGAAUAGAGCGAACCCUGUACUUACAGUACGCUGUGUCCAGCCCAGAGGUGAAAGCCAUCCAAAGCAGAGUAACUGUGCUAUUGUGCCCAAGUUGAUACCUGUGGAGAGAAAAGGAGAGAGAGUGAAUAACACGAGGAGGAAUAGAGCGAACCCUGUACUUACAGUACGCUGUGUCCAGCCCAGAGGUGAGAGCCAUUCAAAGCAAACUAACUGUGCUAGUGUGCCCAAGUUGAUGCCUGUGGAGAAAGAGAAAGAGAGUGAGCACCCAGAGAACGAACUGUGUGAACCAGUACUUACUGUGAGCUGCAAUCAGCGAAGAGGAGGAAGAAGGAGGGCGCUACGGAUACCUAAGACUCAGGCCGGGGCCUGAGUCCC
Cyprinus carpio carpio is the source of this 673-nucleotide long non-coding RNA. The record is from Ensembl. NCBI's taxonomy places the organism in Eukaryota, Metazoa, Chordata, Actinopteri, Cypriniformes, Cyprinidae.